RNAcentral lists this ribosomal RNA (966 nucleotides) under Crocidura hildegardeae (Hildegarde's Shrew). RNAcentral describes it as "partial 16S ribosomal RNA". It matches the Rfam family "Bacterial large subunit ribosomal RNA", at positions 958 to 2578 of the family's 2925-position model. Lineage: Eukaryota; Metazoa; Chordata; Mammalia; Eulipotyphla; Soricidae. The record is from RNAcentral.
AAAUUUUAAUGUAGGCUUAAAUGUUAAUCUGCAGAGGUACAGCUCUGCAGAAUAAGACUACAACCUUAAUUAGAGAGUAAUAUUAGUUAACAACCAUAGUUGGCCUAAAAGCAGCCACCAAUUAAGAAAGCGUUCAAGCUCAACAACUAAACUUGCACUUAAUCUCAAAAAUUAAUAGAAACUCCUAAUCUAACUACUGGAUUAUUCUACUAAAUGUAGAAGAAACACUGUUAAUAUGAGUAACAAGAUUUUAUAUCUCCAAACACACAUGUAUAUCAGCCCAAAUCCUAACUGAUAAUUAACAAUAAGAUAAAUCUGAUCAUAUAAUUAAUAAUUUUCCACUAUAUUGUUAAUCCGACGCUGGAGUGUACUGUAAGGAAAGAUUAAAAGGAGUAAAAGGAACUCGGCAAACACAAACCCCGCCUGUUUACCAAAAACAUCACCUCUAGCAUUAUCAGUAUUAGAGGCACUGCCUGCCCAGUGACAUUAGUUAAACGGCCGCGGUAUCCUGACCGUGCAAAGGUAGCAUAAUCAUUUGUUCCUUAAUUAGGGACUUGUAUGAAUGGCCCCACGAGGGUUUAACUGUCUCUUACUUUCAAUCAGUGAAAUUGACCUUCCCGUGAAGAGGCGGGAAUAUAAAAAUAAGACGAGAAGACCCUAUGGAGCUUAAAUUAAUAUGCUCAACAAAAUUUAAAUUCAACCCAACAGGAAUAAUUAUAAUUUAACUGAGCAAUAAAUUUUGGUUGGGGUGACCUCGGAGUAUAACAGAACCUCCGAGUGAUUUAAACCAAGACUUACCCGUCAAGGUUACGUAACUUAUUGAUCCAAUCAUAUUGAUCAACGAAACAAGUUACCCUAGGGAUAACAGCGCAAUCCUAUUUGAGAGUUCAUAUCGACAAUAGGGUUUACGACCUCGAUGUUGGAUCAGGACACCCAAAUGGUGCAGCAGCUAUUAAAGGUUCGUUU